UGGCUCUCGCAUCGAUGAAGAACGCAGCGAAAUGCGAUAAGUAAUGUGAAUUGCAGAAUUCAGUGAAUCAUCGAAUCUUUGAACGCAUCUUGCGCUCCUUGGUAUUCCGAGGAGCAUGCCUGUUUGAGUGUCAUGAAUAUCUCAAUCUUGCCCACAUUUUGUGGUCAGAUUGGACUUGGGAGCUGCCGGUGUACAAGUCGGCUCUCCUGAAAUGCAUGACUGUACCACUCUCCAAUAUACUGUCCGGUGUGAUAAUUUCUAUGCCGCAUGGUCAACAAUGAGUGUUACCCAAUUCAUUUGGAGUGUUACCUCAUUGGAGAAUCCGCUCACAAAACGUCUAUUGCAGACAACUAUAUAUGACAUCUGACCUCAAAUCAGGUAGGACUACCCGCUGA
RNAcentral lists this unclassified non-coding RNA (395 nucleotides) under uncultured fungus. RNAcentral's name for it is "partial contains 5.8S ribosomal RNA and internal transcribed spacer 2". The stretch from base 1 to 133 matches the Rfam family "5.8S ribosomal RNA", at positions 22 to 154 of the family's 154-position model. Lineage: Eukaryota; Fungi. The record is from RNAcentral.